RNAcentral lists this unclassified non-coding RNA (662 nucleotides) under Hevea brasiliensis (rubber tree). Lineage: Eukaryota; Viridiplantae; Streptophyta; Magnoliopsida; Malpighiales; Euphorbiaceae. The record is from RNAcentral.
GUGUGUGACUCGUUGGUUUUUUAGAGUCAGGAUUAAAAAAAGGACUGACCCAUACUAUGAACUAAUAAGUAUAAGUAUACAACUAAUAACCAACUCAUCGCUUUACAUUAUCUGGAUCCAAAGAAACAAUCAAGAUAUGAUAUAUUGGUCAUAUCAUUGUAACAAUUGAAAUCCUUUUUACACAAACAAAAGAAAAACCAAUCUGAUUAUGAGUUGUAAAUCAAAAUAAAAAAUUAUGCAGAUAAGUGGAAGGGUGAAAGAAAGAAAAAGAAUAUCAAAGAAUAUCAAUGAUAUAUGAUUCCAAUAUGUAAGGUCUAUGAGUCAUCAUAUAAAAGCUAAUGUAGUAAAGCAUCAAUACCAAUUGAUCUAUAAUUAAACUAAUCCGUUCAUAAAACAAAAAAUCAAGAGCCUCGAGCCAAUAAAGACUGAGAAGAUUGACUCAAGAACAAAAAGGCUCCAUUGUAAAAUUAAGACCUAACCAUUAAUGGAGAAGCGAUGGGAACGACGGAACCUGUAAAUACAUAAGAUUUUUUUGAAAACAAGUCUUAAUGAUUUAUUGGGAGGAUAGCGAAAAGAACCAUAAGACAAUCCAUUUAUUCUGAAAGAUCAUGGGUUAUCUCUACAAAUGAAAUAAAUAUUGAAAGAGUAAAUAUUCGCCCGCG